Alligator mississippiensis (American alligator) is the source of this 1674-nucleotide long non-coding RNA. RefSeq lists it as uncharacterized. The record is from RefSeq and is a predicted model, not a curated record. NCBI's taxonomy places the organism in Eukaryota, Metazoa, Chordata, Crocodylia, Alligatoridae. The transcript has 2 exons.
AGUCCGAGCCCGCGGCUUGGAGGGGGGCGGAGAGAGGAAGGAGGGGCCCGGCCCCUCGUCCUGCACUGAAGGUGGGGGGCCCCGGGCACACACCGGUCUCGGGGCUGGUUGCCUGGCCCGUCGCCCCCACCCCCGCCGCCACACCCUGCACAAAUCACUGCGCGACUCCGGCGCGGCUACAGCCUCCGCCGAGGGCGCGGGGCCCGACCCCCCCGCACGAGUGCGCUGCCGCCGGGGAGCGGGGCCCGCGCUCAACUCUUCUCCCAGCCCCCGGGGGGGGAGGAGGGCCGGGCCGGGCCGGGCCGGGCUCGGCUCGCUGGGCCGCUGCCGCGGGGAGACAAUAGGCGCGAUGACUUCACCCUCCAGCAAUGUGAGGAGCCGCCGGCCCCUGCCCCGCGCUCCGCUCCCCUCAGCGGCCCGGGCCCGUUGGCGGAGGGGGCGCCCGUCCAGGUUGACAUCAUGCAUCUCUUCCAAGUGUGGCAAAGGGCCAGGAGGAACUAUAGAAGAUAAGACACCCCAAAACAGCAAGCCCUAAACAGCAGCAUGCUCUCCUUGUAUUUGAAGCCACUCAUGGAUAGAAGUUCUUUGACUCUUCAGCACUGAAGUGCCUAAUAAAUUAACCAGGGGUGUAGGCUGUAGAUGUGUUUGUCUCAGGACAUAGGCAGACAAGGUUCUUUGGGUGAAUAUGAUAUCUUUUAUUAGACCAAUUUAAAUAGUUGGAAAAAAAAUGUAUACCAAGCUUUCGGGUUUAAAAACCACACCAACUCCAGAGACUUCCUCAGCCUGACGAAGGGUUUUUAAACCCGAAAGCUUGCUAUAAAAAUGUUUUCCAACUAUUUAAGUUGGUUUAAUAAAAUAUAUCAUAUUCACCCAAAGAAACUUGUUUGCCUAAUAAAUUAAGCUGCAGUAUUAAUGGGUUCCAUUACAUCCUUUCACUUAAGACUUAAACUGAAUGAGUAGUGUCAAGGCAUGGGGGAAAAGUGGCUACUUUGGAGCAUCUUUACUUAGUUCCUUGGUCACUCUUUUUCCUUGAAGGCUCACUUCACACAAGCCAGAUUAACAUGGUCUUUGGGGUUUUUUUGCUUUUCUCUGUAGCAGGGAAGUGUCCCGCUCCCUUGGAACUCUCAAACAUAUCUUAACAACCUUUGCAGCAGUAGGGUAUUGGCCAUGGUUAUCCCCCUGCUUUACCUGUGACAGGUUAGGGUGUUAUGGUUGUGUCAGGGUUGACUGUAGUUUUGCAAACAGGUUAGACAACAGGAAGGUUUCUGUAGGGAUGCUGCUGCUUCAGGCAGUGGGAGUGGACUAGAUGAACUCUAGAAAUCCCUUCCAGCCCUUCUUUUCUAUGAUUUUAUAAUACUAAGACAAAAUAAAACCAUUCUACAUUUGUCCUUCAGAACACAAUAUGCCUUAGUAUUGGUUUACCAUGAAUAGCAAGUUGGAGAGUGUAGGGAGCUGGAUACAACUCCAAGAACUUUAGCCACAUUUAUCUGCUUUCUAUUUUUAUUGAUGUUUAGCAAAGUAUAGGGUGCAUAAACAGAAACACUGACUAUAGGUUACAGGAGAUUAUUCUGGCUGUAUAUGAGGAGCUAGGACCUGUAACCCUGUCAUUUGAAUACAUAUUUUAAUUGUAAGGUGUAUUGUUUAAAAUAAAGUCAGUUCUGGUCAUCUUAAAAA